GCGGAGAGGAAACCCGGGCCUAGUGAAGGCCUAACCUUUGACCCUCUGCCGGCAGCUCCCUGGUGCUCGAGGCUGGAGAGGGAGGCCGGUCCGGAAAAGAGGCUGGAGAGAGGUACCGGGAAGGGGAAAAAAGAGGUCUGGUUUGUUCCCCCGAGGAACUGGUGGCUGAAUCUGCAGAAAGGAGCCCGAGCCGCCCCCCAGCAGGGGCCACCCGACGUCCUAACCCUCCCGCUGCUGUUCUGCUCCCCAAGGAGGCCUCUUCAGGCCACGCGCCCUCACCACCUCCCUUCAGCGUCUGUGGGAAAGAUCAGUAACCCCCGGCAUUGGUGUAACCAGCGCGCGCCCAAUGCAGUCGUAUUCCUCGAAUGCGCGCACCGCCCGCCACACUUGGAGAAUCCAGCCCACAGAGGUUUCGGAAACCCCAUUUUCCUGAUUGCAGCCCAGACUCUGGAACCCCGCAAGCCUUCCGGGGAAGCGAGCCCAAUCCAGACCAAGCAGACCUCUGGCGCUGCCGGGUUCGUACAACCACUAAAGCAGCGUCAUCUUGAGAGUUAUUUUGGGGAAAAAGACCUGGGACCUGGGUUUGAGUUAAAGACGUUAGAGGCAAGGGACAGAUGGCCCAGCAUUUCUUUGGAACGAGGCAGAACUGAGAACUACCCAGCUGGACCAGCAUUGCCGAAAACUGGAGAUUAGGAAAUGUAUUCUCCUCGCACACACAGUAGCACACAUCUCCUCCGACGGCGAGUUCACCCCUACGCCAGGGGCCUCUGGCUCCGCCGCUGCGUUUCCCAGACGCCCUUUCGGCCUUCUCCAGGUUUUGCCAGGCAAAUGAAACGAGCAGAACUCGAUGGUAAAUUAUUUUGUUCAGCCUUCCGUCUUUUUAUAAAAAUAAAAGGCAACACUUUGUCAUUUUUAAUCAUAUAAGCAGACAAUAAACCUAAUUUUGAUAUUGA
Molecule: long non-coding RNA, 953 nt
Filed under: Equus caballus (horse)
Lineage: Eukaryota; Metazoa; Chordata; Mammalia; Perissodactyla; Equidae
Description: lncRNA (ENSECAG00000039318.3)
Source: RNAcentral